RNAcentral lists this ribosomal RNA (476 nucleotides) under uncultured bacterium. Its description in RNAcentral is "bacterial SSU rRNA". It matches the Rfam family "Bacterial small subunit ribosomal RNA", at positions 917 to 1382 of the family's 1533-position model. The record is from RNAcentral.
GUACCCGCACAAGCAGCGAGGCAUGUGGUUUAAUUCGAGGCUACACGAAGAACCUUACCUGGGCUUGACAUGUUGCUGAAAGAUCUAAGAAACUAGAUCCCUUUUCAUAGCAAUAUGAAAACAGUUUCACAGGUGGUGCAUGGUUGUCGUCAGCUCGUGCCGUGAGGUGUAAGGUUAAGUCCUUGAACGAGCGCAACCCACGUCGUUAUUUGCCACGGAGCAAUCCAGCUACUAUAACGAUACCGCCGGCGACGAGCCGGAGGAAGGCGUGGACGACGUCAAAUCAUCACGCCCCUUAUGUCCAGGGCUACACACAUGCGACAAUGGUCGGAACAAUGAGUUGCCAAGCAGUAAUGCGGAGCUAAUCUCCAAAGCCGGCCUCAGUACAGAUCGAGGGUUGCAACCCACCCUCGUGAAGAUGGAGUUGCUAGUAAACGCAAGUCAGCCAUAUUGCGUUGAAUACGUUCCCGGGUAUU